GUGGGGAAUCUUGCGCAAUGGGCGAAAGCCUGACGCAGCCAUGCCGCGUGAAUGAUGAAGGUCUUAGGAUUGUAAAAUUCUUUCACCGGGGACGAUAAUGACGGUACCCGGAGAAGAAGCUCCGGCUAACUUCGUGCCAGCAGCCGCGGUAAUACGAAGGGGGCUAGCGUUGCUCGGAAUUACUGGGCGUAAAGGGCGCGUAGGCGGACAGCUUAGUCAGAGGUGAAAGCCCAGUGCUCAACCUUGGAAUUGCCUUUGAUACUGGCUGUCUUGAGUUUGGGAGAGGUGAGUGGAACUCCGAGUGUAGAGGUGAAAUUCGUAGAUAUUCGGAAGAACACCAGUGGCGAAGGCGACUCACUGGCCCAAUACUGACGCUGAGGCGCGAAAGCGUGGGGAGCAAACAGGAUUAGAUACCCGGGUAGUCC
RNAcentral lists this ribosomal RNA (425 nucleotides) under uncultured bacterium. RNAcentral describes it as "partial 16S ribosomal RNA". It matches the Rfam family "Bacterial small subunit ribosomal RNA", at positions 354 to 796 of the family's 1533-position model. The record is from RNAcentral.